This 2620-nucleotide unclassified non-coding RNA is filed under the name Polistes canadensis. Its description in RNAcentral is "cleft lip and palate transmembrane protein 1-like protein, transcript variant X1". The record is from RNAcentral. Lineage: Eukaryota; Metazoa; Arthropoda; Insecta; Hymenoptera; Vespidae.
UCGAACUAAAAUUAUGUUAGACCGUCUACAAUUCUUGUAGUCCAAUCCAAAUAAUUAUCACAACAUUAGCACACAUAAAUAAUGGAGAUAUAAUUCAAAUCUUUGCUUUCCAAUAUGACUGGAAUUUUAUUUGGUCUAUAAACAAAGUAUAUAUAAGAGAAUAUAAAAAUUAAUGUUAUAAGUGACACGUGUCAUCACAAUUUGGCAUAUUUAAACGUCAUUCCACAUGGAAGGAACAUGACAUACUUCACAUCACAACAAAUUAUUUAAAUCGUUGUAAUUAUAUGAUAAAGGCCUAGAUAAACGUUAAUGUUUCUUUUUCUUUUAUCAUAUAUAUAUAUAUAUAUAUAUAUAUUAUUGAACGUAUGUAUGUACAAAUUUAAAAAUGCAGUGGCCGUCAAUAAGUCUUAUACUUUCUGAAGUGUUUUUAGCAUAUAUUGUUUAUUCAAUAUAUACAUUAUCUUUAUUAUUUGUGGUUCCUUCGUGUGAAAAAGGAAAACCAUGCCUAGAGUCUUAUUUAUACAAAAAUCCACAAUUCCAAUUACAUAUUUAUAGUUCCGUAACAGAGAGACCAAUAGAAAGAGAAGUUCAUUUUUUGUAUACGCUGCAAGACUUUAAUUAUACUCAAACGCAAAACAUUUCUCUUUCCAUAGAUCUUCCUCGAAAAACUAAACAAAAUGGAACGCUGUUUCUACAUGUGAUAAUGGUGCCUAUUUUCCAUAAACAAGUAAAAUCCUUUAAAGAAUUGCAAAAGGAUUUACUUAUGGCAUAUACUACUAUAAAACUAACACAAUAUUCAGUACCUGAAGCAGAAGUUUUUAAUUUAUUAGGAGAACGAGAUGUAAGUGAAAGAACAAAAAAAAAAUAUGUGCACCCUGUAACGCAUAUUAAAAGCAAAGUAACAUUUACAAUAAUGACAGAGGAUAUUAAAUUUCCAACAGAUGGUGUACCCAUGGAACUCAUACAUGAUUUAAGGAUAAUAAAUGGUAAUAAAUUUUUACCAAUUAUUAACUAUGACUUUUUACAAACUCGUCAUCGUGAUCUUUUACAAAUAUCACCGCAGAAUAAAACUGUUAAUGUUUUUCUUAUGUAUACUCCAAUAACUCUUGGAAAGUUAAGAUUGAUAUUGCAUGUUGAAGCUGCUAUGCAGAGUUUGAAAAAUCUUGGAUUUUCAGCCAAAGAUAUAGAUGAAGUUAAAGGAAUUUUUGCAGAUACUAACAUAUACUUAUUAGGAAGUACUUUCUUCAUUGCAGCCGUUCAUCUGCUAUUUGAUUUUCUCGCUUUCAAAAAUGAUGUAAGUUUUUGGAGAAGAAAGAAUAAUCUUGCUGGACUUAGCAAAUGGACAGUGAUAUGGAGAGCUUUCAGUCAGACAAUCAUUUUUUUCUAUUUGUUAGAAGAAAAUUCAUCUUUACUUGUGCUCAUCCCAACUGGAAUAGGCACCAUUAUAGAGUUAUGGAAAUUAAAAAAAAUAUUCAGAGUAGAAGUGAUCAGUCAUAAUCGUAUUUUUCCAAGAAUUCAUUUUAAUGAAAAUAAAAUCAAUGCAGCUGAAGCGAAAACAAGAGUAUUUGAUGCUGAAAGUAUGCGCUAUCUAAGCUAUUUAUUAUAUCCACUUGUUAUUGGUGCUGCACUUUAUUCGCUACUUUAUCAACAUCAUAAAAGUUGGUACUCUUGGACGAUACAUUCUCUGGUGAAUGGCGUCUACGCAUUUGGAUUUUUAUUCAUGCUUCCACAACUUUUCAUUAAUUAUAAAUUAAAAUCUGUAGCUCACUUGCCGUGGAGAGCUUUCAUGUACAAAGCAUUUAAUACUUUCAUCGAUGAUAUAUUUGCUUUUAUUAUUACAAUGCCAACUGCUCAUAGAAUAGCAUGCUUCAGAGAUGAUGCAGUUUUUCUUAUUUAUCUUUAUCAGAGAUGGUUGUAUCCCGUUGAUAAAUCGCGCACAGACGCUGAAGUUAUAACAGAAGAAUCUGUAAACGUCUAUAGUUCAACGAAAAAGAUUAAUUAAAAAACGAUCAUCAUAUAUAUUCUAUCAAUCAAUCAAUCAGUCAAUCAGACAAAUAUUCGGACACUAGUAUAACUUCGAACAUUGUGCUUUAUAUAUUAACUAAUUCUGAAGUCUAACAAAUAUUUGGACGCUAGGCAUAUUUCAGGAGAUUUUAAUUCCUAGAAAAUGAAACAAAUAAUGUUUCUGAACGCACACUGCUGAAAAAACGUUCCGAAAAUUUUGUACAGAAAAUGUAUUACACAAAUCGUCUGUUCAUCCGGUACACAUGCAUUUCAUCAUGUUUCACCGUCAUAGGUAGUAAUAUAUUAUUUUCAGUAUCGAAAUUCAAAAAAAUACAAUAAAAGUAUCUAAUACAUAAACUUGUAUUGAUUUUGGUGAGUAAGUAGGUAGAAAAAAUUGUAAAUAAAGAAAAUGUAAUGCAAAUAAAGCGAGGAUAAUGAUAAACAAGCAUAGAAAACAUUAAAUUAGGUCUAAACAUCUGAUAAGGUAAAGAAAUCUAAAAUUUAUUUAAAAAAAUUUUUUUUUUAAUUUAUGUAUAGAAACAAAAAUAACAAAUAAAAGCAAGAAACGGAAUUUUAAAGCAAUAUAUGAAAAAAAAAAAGAACAGAAAGAAAAAAU